Molecule: ribosomal RNA, 292 nt
Filed under: uncultured Methylophilaceae bacterium
Lineage: Bacteria; Pseudomonadati; Pseudomonadota; Betaproteobacteria; Nitrosomonadales; Methylophilaceae
Description: partial 16S ribosomal RNA
Rfam family: Bacterial small subunit ribosomal RNA
Source: RNAcentral
GUGUCAGCCGCCGCGGUAAUACGUAGGGUGCGAGCGUUAAUCGGAAUUACUGGGCGUAAAGCGUGCGCAGGCGGUUUUGAAAGUCAGAUGUGAAAUCCCCGAGCUCAACCUGGGAACUGCGUUUGAAACUCCAAAGCUAGAGUAUAGGAGAGGGGGGUAGAAUUCCACGUGUAGCAGUGAAAUGCGUAGAGAUGUGGAGGAAUACCAAUGGCGAAGGCAGCCCCCUGGCCUAAUACUGACGCUCAUGCACGAAAGCGUGGGGAGCAAACAGGAUUAGAAACCCCCGUAGUCC